UACGGAAGGCAGCAGUGGGGAAUAUUGCACAAUGGGCGAAAGCCUGAUGCAGCUAUGCCUCGUGUAUGAAGAAGGCCUUAGGGUUGUAAAGUACUUUCAUCGGGGAGGAAAAAACAAAACUAAUAAUUUUAUUUCUUGACGUUACCCGAAAAAGAAGCACCGGCUAACUCCGUGCCAGCAGCCGCGGUAAUACGGAGGGUGCUAGCGUUAAUCAGAAUUACUGGGCGUAAAGAGCACGUAGGUGGUUUUUUAAGUCAGAUGUGAAAUCCCUGGGCUUAACCUGGAACUGCAUUUUGAAACUGAAAUACUAGAGUAUCGUAGAGGGAGGUAGAAUUCUAGGUGUAGCGGUGAAAUGCGUAGAUAUCUGGAGGAAUACCUGUGGCGAAAGCGGCCUCCUAAACGAAUACUGACACUGAGGUGCGAAAGCGUGGGGAGCAAACAGGGAUUAGAUACC
RNAcentral lists this ribosomal RNA (454 nucleotides) under uncultured bacterium. RNAcentral's name for it is "bacterial SSU rRNA". It matches the Rfam family "Bacterial small subunit ribosomal RNA", at positions 340 to 786 of the family's 1533-position model. The record is from RNAcentral.